UAAAAUAUAAAUGCAAAUCGGUCAAAAUCUGUUUUAUCAUGAAAAUAAUUAAUCAAAAAUAUAAUGAACCGCACAAAUUGAGAAACGACAAAAAUAGGUAUACAAUUGAGAAACGACAAGAAUUUGUUCCACCAGCUGAUGAGUUGGACCCUACAACUCUUUUGUAUCCCAACAGUCUGCCUCGAUCGACUACUAGAAACUUGGACCAAGCUUGCCGUGGGUGGCAAAGUAGGUUUCAAGGAAUGGUGUGAUUUCUUUCACAAUCGUGAAGUGGACUCCUUUGCUAUCAAGAGUUUAGAAGAUCAACACUUGUAUAAUGUGGCCUUUUUUUCCAUAUGGCUUUGUCGCUACGUCAUUGUCUGUGGUGGGCCAUAUAUUCGUCCCGGGGUAUUAGUGAUGGCGUCCUGAAUUCCUUAGGAAGGCUCAUCUCUUUGUGACCACCCACUCUUUGCUCUCUUUAUUACUCACUUCGACAAAUUUGUACUCAUCCGAUCGGCCCCUAGUUCAUGUAUAGAAUUUUGCCGGUACACUACCUUGCUGGAUGGAUGGGUGUGUACCUCAGGAAACCAUAUGGAAAGAAAGUAAAAACACCACAUUUCCCGAGCUCUGAAAUCUUGGUAGUGGAACCCAAUAUGGUGAAAAUCAUGUUUAAGACACCGCAUCAAUUUUACUCCUGAAGAGGCCCAUGCCUUCCUCAAUGAUUAUAAGAAUGUUGCUUGGAACCCCUAUGCCCUGACUAAGGAAGGCGUGUUCAGACCCAAGAGAGCUUUUUUGAUUUCUAUUCGUCGGGGAAUGUUGCCGUGGAGGCGUGGUACUAUUACUGAUGACAUGUGUAUAGCCGAACCAUAUCACCCAGAUCGAGUGGCACGCCAAUUCCGUCUUGACCAAGUUGUACCCUUCUCUCGUGCCCCAAGCUCGGGAUGACCGUGUGGUAUGCCUAACUUUGCGAUCACUGGAUUGGCUACCUCACUAGUGUCUGGUUCAAAUAGGUGUAUUUAGGCCAACCGUGAUAGAGGCAUUCUACAUGAUUCAGACGAAGAUGGUGUCGUAGCUUCCUCCAUCUAUAUGAAAGGAAGAUAUUCAUGUCGGUAUAUGCAUGAAAUUAUAGAAAUUAAAUGAAUAGUACAUGAAAAGGCAGCAUCAAAAAUUUAUUACCAAAGUAGAAGUAAUGACCCAAGCAAGACGGCCUGUGACUCAGGACAAUUAGAGGUAGAAUCUGCAAUAAAAAUAAUAAUAAUAACAAUUCAAUAUUUAGAGUUGACACGCAAAAUAAAAAAAAGGAAUAUGAGAAAUUGGUAAUAUUUCUCAUACUCACUGUCGAACGACGGACAGAGCCCAUAUAUAGGCUCCCCGGAACGCCAACAACGAGCGGUUCACUAAUUCGUACAUAUAUAAUACACACACAAAAAAAGGGUUCACUGUCGAAUGACGGACCAAGCCCAUAUAUAGACUCCCCGGAAUGCCGACAGCGAGCGACUCAUUAAAUCAUACAUAUAGGGUAAAAAAAAAAUCUCCAUGGAACAACGGACCAAGCCCAUAUAUAGGCUUUCCGGGACGCCGACAGCGAGAAAGUCAUUAAGUCCACGCAUAUCCAAUAAAAAAAAUCUCUCUGUCGAACGACGGACAAAGCCCAUAUAUAGGCUUUCCGGGACACCGACAGCGAGAAAGUGAUUAAGUCCACGCAUAUCCAAUAAACAAAAAGAAUCGUGCUGUCGAACGACGGACCAAGCCCGGGUAUAGGCUUCCCGGAACGCCGAUCAUGAUAGGGUAUAGGCUUCCCGAAACGCCGACCGUGAGAUCAUGAUUUUUGUAUGAAUAGAUGCAGAUCAAACGCAUCAGGAGCCUCAUACAUCGAUGCAGGGAAUAUAGUGUACAUACAAGGCAUUGUGUCUUGGACACUAUUAUAGAGGCUGACAUAGAUGAAACGACAAAUAAAAGGAUAAUCAUACCGUCGGGAAAGCAAAUUAACCUAAAUCGAAUCUAUCCAAGUCUCGAAUCCAUGUAUCAGCAGGAAAAAAAGAAGUCGGACAAACAAAGGUGACGUCCUAAAUAUUGAGAGGCAGAUUCUUAAUGAGAAGCGAAGUUGAUCACACCUGAAGCUGGUUGAAAUCACCACUUGCCCCACGGAGGUGCAUCUCAUGAGGGAGUAAAAUAGAUCUGGGACGAAUGAAACAGCAAACCAAUUAACAUAUGAAUUAACUAGGUACUGGCAAAUUACAAUAUCAUAUGAAGGGAAUGAAGACGAAGCCUUAAUGCGUACGGCGGUACGGGGCUGCGGCCACAGUCUAAGCGGAAUAAAGUCUAACCUCGUCUCCGACGUUUUCUAGCUGAUCUGAGAAAGAAGGAUGCCGGUUGUUUAAAAGAGAGUUGAGGAGAUAGCGGACUGAGUUUGUUGGCCGGAUAGAGUUUGUUAGCUGGCUAACCCCAAACGUGGCCUGAUUUCUAGCUUGCAUGGUUGCAAAAUUAG
Molecule: long non-coding RNA, 2467 nt
Filed under: Hordeum vulgare
Lineage: Eukaryota; Viridiplantae; Streptophyta; Magnoliopsida; Poales; Poaceae
Description: long non-coding RNA (HVUL_LNC008762)
Source: RNAcentral